GAUGAACGCUGGCGGCGUGCUUAACACAUGCAAGUCGAACGAAGCACUUAAUGAGAUUUCUUCGGAUUGAUUAUUUUGUGACUGAGUGGCGGACGGGUGAGUAACGCGUGGGUAACCUGCCCCAGACCGGGGGAUAACAGUCGGAAACGACUGCUAAUACCGCAUAAGCGCACAGUGCCGCAUGGCACGGUGUGAAAAACUCCGGUGGUCUGGGAUGGACCCGCGUCCGAUUAGUUAGUUGGCGGGGUAACGGCCCACCAAGACCGCGAUCGGUAGCCGACCUGAGAGGGUGACCGGCCACAUUGGGACUGAGACACGGCCCAGACUCCUACGGGAGGCAGCAGUGGGGAAUAUUGCACAAUGGAGGAAACUCUGAUGCAGCGACGCCGCGUGAGCGAAGAAGUAUUUCGGUAUGUAAAGCUCUAUCAGCAGGAAAGAAAAUGACGGUACCUGACUAAGAAGCCCCGGCUAACUACGUG
This 479-nucleotide ribosomal RNA is filed under the name uncultured bacterium. RNAcentral describes it as "bacterial SSU rRNA". It matches the Rfam family "Bacterial small subunit ribosomal RNA", at positions 28 to 507 of the family's 1533-position model. The record is from RNAcentral.